This 857-nucleotide ribosomal RNA is filed under the name uncultured Lentisphaerota bacterium. RNAcentral describes it as "bacterial SSU rRNA". It matches the Rfam family "Bacterial small subunit ribosomal RNA", at positions 8 to 900 of the family's 1533-position model. Lineage: Bacteria; Pseudomonadati; Lentisphaerota. The record is from RNAcentral.
AGAGUUUGAUCCUGGCUCAGAUUGAACGCUGGCGGCAUGGCUAAAACAUGCAAGUCGAACGAGAACUCACUUCGGUGAGGGACAGUGGCGAAAGGGCGAGUAACGCGUACCUUACGUACCUUGAGGUGCGGGAUAGCUCGGGGAAACCCGUGGUAAUACCGCAUAAUCCGGCAACGGCAAAGAUUUAUCGCCUCAAGAUCGGGGUGCGUCCUAUCAGGUAGUUGGCGGGGUAACGGCCCACCAAGCCAGAGACGGGUAGCGGGUGUGAGAGCACGGCCCGCCGCAUCGGGACUGAGACACUGCCCGGACUCCUACGGGAGGCUGCAGUAACGAAUAUUCCGCAAUGCGCGAAAGCGUGACGGAGCAAUGCCGCGUGAAGGAUGAAGCCCCUAGGGGUGUAAACUUCUGUCAGGGGUCACCAAGCUCUGAGGAGCCCCAAAGGAAGGACCGGCUAACUCUGUGCCAGCAGCCGCGGUAAUACAGAGGGUCCGAGCGUUAAUCGGAAUCACUGGGCUUAAAGGGUCCGCAGGCGGACCCGCAAGUGUCAAGUAAAAUACCCCGGCUCAACCGGGGAACGGCUUGGCAAACUGCGGGUCUUGAGCCCGACAGGGGUCGUCGGAACGAUAGGUGGAGCGGUGAAAUGCGUAGAUAUCUAUCGGAACGCCUAUGGUGAAGACAGGCGACUGGGUCGGCGCUGACGCUCAGGGACGAAAGCGUGGGUAGCGAACGGGAUUAGAUACCCCGGUAGUCCACGCCCUAAACGCUGUGCACUAGAUCGAGGGGGUUUUGACGCUUUCUCGGUCGUAGCCAAAGUGUUAAGUGCACCGCCCUGGGGAGUACGGUCGCAAGGCUAAAAC